Long non-coding RNA from Halichondria panicea, 4789 nucleotides. RefSeq lists it as uncharacterized. The transcript has 7 exons. The record is from RefSeq and is a predicted model, not a curated record. Lineage: Eukaryota; Metazoa; Porifera; Demospongiae; Suberitida; Halichondriidae.
AGAGAGCUCUUCAACACUGGGUCUGUACAUAGUAAACGUUUCAGUGUUGUGACAAGGGCCUCCUGACACUCCGGUGACCACUGUACUCUUACUGGCGUAGUUCAUUAUGAACAGUAUCCGGUGAGUCCAAGAAAUGUACGGACUUCUUUCUUCGUGGUUGGGACUGCAAGUUUGGGAGUCUCAGGGCAAAUGCUCAUCCAAGAAUCAGAUGAAAAUUCGUGGUGUUACAUAAUUAUAUUGGAGCAUCCUUGAUUGUGUUUGAGUAAUUCAAUCCUCAUUGUGAAGAUCGAACGUUAGUUAGUUAUUAUAAUAGUUAUCAUGUGAAUUCAUAUAGGUGCGAUUCAUUAAUAAUUAUUAAGAUCAGUGCCCUUGUCAUUGUGAAAUGGCAUGCAUGAUUUAAUGCUGGACGAACCUAUAACGAUAAUUAUGUUGCGCAGAACACAGAUUCCAGAAAAGAGUAAGGCACAAAAUUGUAGCUUAAUAAUUUCUUGUGCAUGUGAAAUUCUAUUCACAAAGAUGCUGAGAAACAGAUGAGAAGAGCACGAGAUGAUGAGAGCACGAUACGGCAGCACAAACUACAAUGGCGGUCUCAAGGUUACAGAACUUUACAGAGCUCAACUACAGAGCUCAACAGGCUAUCAAUCCAAACUAGGAAGCACCCUUCUGGAGUCAGAUGACAUCGAUGCUCUUGACACUAUAGUAGCAAAGUGAACUACAGAUCUAGCUCUAACCCUAUUAAACUAUAGAUCUAGCUCUUGUCCCAAAUUAUAUUUUGUAUGGGGGUGCAUUUUGUAUGGGGGUGCUGCGCACGAUCUAGCUGCUAGUAUUUAGGCGCCACACAGGACGCCUCUAAAAGAUAGCUCAAUUAGGAAAAAUAAGGUAAUAAUGGGGAGGAGUUGGAUUUAGAAUUUGUCAGAUUUGGUAGGCAUUAAUUUAGCUGUGCUCUGGUUUUCCCAGAGCCUGUCACCUGAUUGAACAAUAUACGAGCAUGCGCUUGCUAAUGCCUCUCGCCAUGUUAUUUAACUAUUUCUAUUUCUAUUUCUAUAUUAUUCUAUUUCUAUAAUUAUUAAAGUCAGCUUAUCUGUAAAAAAAAAAAAUUAUUUUAUAAAGUAUAAAGUUAUAAAGUAUAAAGUCAAAGUCAUUGAGAUAUUUACAUGCAUCUUAUUUACAUUCUAUAGAAGAUUGAUUCUUCUUCCAGGUUCAAUGUAUGACCUGGAUGAUUCUGUUAUUAUUAUUUUCUCACACGAGCCAUUACAUCCACAGGAAUAAUUACCCCACAGGAAUAAUUAACCCUUUCCCUGCUCCUGCUUUAACCGAUUAUACGCCGCAUUGUUACGUCAGGGGGGUUACACCCCCACCGCCAUAUUAAUUUUUUAAAAAUGCAAAAAUUAGUUAGUUCUUAGAAAACUGACUGCUCGUAACUCGAAAGCGUCGUAACUCGAAAGCGCUUCGACUUUUGAUUAUGCAAGUUAGGCUAGGAAGAUAUACCAGUCAAAGAUCUACAAGAUGAUGUCCAAAUCGCUUACUAUCUCGAAGUGAUCUGCUUCUGUCAAGCACUAAACAAGGUACUGGGUGUGGCUUAUAACCAGAGGCAGCUAUGUGUAAAAAGAAGCACUGGCAGUGGCAAAAAGGUGUGGCUGGAUCCAAUAAUCAGAGAUGGGGCCACGUAUGUACAGUGAACGUGAACAGAGGAACAGUGGCAGUAGCAGCGAGGUAAAAGUGUCUGUGUCUGUGGCUACUGCUGUCCGUGAGUACUUGCUGUCACUGCCCAGUGCCCUGUCAAGGGUGGAAUACAUGGUUGACGUUCGUGGUAGGACUGUCACAACAGUGGUCAGCAGUAUUCCUCUCAGUAGAUCUAUUGUUGUAAUUAUUCUAUUGUUGUGAUUAUUGUUGUAUUUGUGGUCUUGUUUUUAGUCCAUGCAUUGAGUGAAGCUAUUUUAUUUGUUGGUUGGAGUAAUGUAACUGUCCAGCUCCUCUCUAAACUGUUAUUGAUCAGAAAAUUCAUGCCUCCAUGACUGGCACGUCUCUGUCUAUUUCAGCUGUUAGAUCUUCUAUGUCAAUCUCUGCAGGUCCCCAUUGUCCAAAAUUUCUUACAGCACCUCCUCACUGGUCUAGUGUGGCCUCUUGGCCAUGAUUGUAGCUCUAUAUAAUUUUUUGAAAGUGUUUGUUUAUGCCAAUAAUUAAUAUUUAAUUUGGCUAUUGCAAAAAUAUUUUCUACAUAGUAUGAGUUUUUGACUGCAUAUAUACUUACCUGAACAGUAACUGGACGUAGUCGUAGCGUUAAACUAGCUGCAGCCUCACCCUGGUUUCUUUACCGCAGAGAGAAGCCGGAUCGCUGCAUAUAACGCCAAUUGGCCGUGUCGGCCACUCGGCCACUUACCAGAGUGACGCAGAGUGACGCCAAUACGCCAAUAGGCGUCAUUGGCGUUAAUUAAAAGUAAAUUAUUAUUGUUUAAAAAUUUAACUCAUGAACCGUAUACUUGCAACAACCAACCACCACCCCACAAAUAACAAUUGUUAACAAAAAUUCACAAUUAUGUACACAAACAAUUAUUGUAUGAUGUUACCGGUGACAUGGCUCACUAAUCAGGAUCCUGUCUAUGAGUUUGUAUCGGCAGACACCCUUUUCCCGGGACACACAGGUUUACAAGUUGUUGUACUUAUAGUGACCAACCUCCUCUGGGUGGCGGUGCUUCCAAUUGCAAGUAAGUCAACUCCUAAAAAUGGUUCGUCUGCAGGUGGACUGGCAUCCUCUAAUGACAGUGCUGUGUCAUUCUUUACAGGGUAUUGUAGGGAUAGGUGAUAACUAAAGCAACUUUAGAUAAAAAGUAUUCACCACGCCCACAGUAUUCGAAAGGUUACUGUUAUUCAAAAGGUUACUAAUUUUAGUAUGCCCAUGGUCAUAAUUAUGCAUGGCCUGCCAUGACAUUGUUUCACGUCUUCGUCCACGAACAGUUCCAAGUGGAUACGUCUAUCAUGCUUGGAAAGACGGACAAAAGAUUGAAUGUGAAGACAAACUCAGGUCUAUUUUGGCCCAACUGGAGUUUACCCAGACUAUCCGUGACUAUGACCAGAAAGGUGCUUACAUGUCCCAGAAACACAUCCGGACACAGGUCACACUUGGUAUGAGAGGGAAGAUCGAGGGAAGAUCCAGGUCAUGUGGAGAAGGUUUGUCUGUUGUGCGUGCACAUGCAUUGUAUUAAGAGAAUGGCGAAUUGUACUAGACAGGGUGGACCUAAAACCGUCAAGUUUGAACGAUAUGUCGAGGCAAUCAAAGAAAAACUGGCCUCACCUACCCCGCUCUGGUUGGGCUUCGCAAGCAUGUGCAAGAUGCGGAGAGGAUAUUUUCUUCGCCUCUAGCUGAGUUCAUGGACCGGAAAGGCCGGAAAGGUUACACUGAAGAGGCUAAAUAACUGAAGAGGCUAAAUACAUCUAUGCCGUCAAUGGUUGGAGGAGGGCUGCUGAUGAAAGAGGGCUUUCAAGUCUGCAAGUUGAUGCCGUGGCAUUCCAGCCUAGAGGUCAACAAGAGUAUCACUGGUAUUCGAGGAUUUACACGACAAGUUUUGAUUGCAGUUGUCGCCCAUAUUGAAACUACCGAAUUCAGAACAUCCUCGUGCAAGAUGAUGUGGAGUGCUUUUUCAGCGUCACAAGAGAUCUUGUGGGCAAGAAUUUUACCCUCAAACAGGCCCAGAUCGGGUGGAGGAAGAUAUGUUGCAACCCCGACUUACCAUUCUACUAUGAGGGUGAGAGACAGAGACCUUCUUUCGACGAUCAACCAGCAAGGCAGAAAAAGGGCCAACGACUGCCAGUCUUGGAAGCAGGAGCCGAAGUGGUAGAGCAUCUCUGCCUCUAAAUUGAUCACUAAAUGUGAGAGCAAGGUUCCACAAUCCACCAAUGAGCCCACCUAGUGUUCCUAUUAACGUCACUGAACAUUCCGAUCAAAUUAAAAUUCCUCUGAACGUUCAGACUCAACAGUCAUUUAUUGUUAUCUGUUAAAACAUUUGAACUUUCAUAAUUAUAGUAGCCGAACAGUCAUUAAUUGCUAUCUGUUAACGGUUCAAUUGGGUGUGACAACAUAAUUAUAAUGUAUAACAUAUGAUACGUGUGACUAUACACGACUAUGUAUUGCUUAUUGCUAUGAAAAUGUACUUCUUGCUUCUCUUACUUUCUGCGACCAUUCUCCAGUUUUUGAAAAAAAACGAUUUAGAGGUGUGUCUAAGGAUAAGAUACCUGCCUUUUGUACCACACCCCCUUUAUUUUGCAGUAAUUCUGUUCAUAGUAUGUAGUUUAGUGAAGUGAUUUAGUCGGAGUUUAAAACACCCUCUAGUAAAGCUUGUAAGAUAAUAGAUGACUUCCAUAAGCCCUUGUACUUUGUCGAAAAAUUGUUGACCGUAUCCCUGGGAAGCCUACUAUUUCUCCGUUUCAGAGACCAGGAGAGCAAAGCGCUAGGGUGAGUUUUUAGUUUAGGUAGAACUAAGCAGCAGUUGGUGUUUAAACGCCGAUUUUUCAAUAGAAAAGUGAAAUAGUGAAAUAGUGCCUCGACAAAAAGGACCACCCCCACUUAUAAAUUAGUGGGCGUGGCUUCAUUUUUAGAGAAUGGAAGUCAAUGUUUCAUUUCAUCAAAAAAGUAUAGCAGCAGGUUGUUAUAAGAUGUGUGACAGGCUCUGGGAAAAAGGAGCAGAUAUUGGUAUUGAGCAAUAGCCAGAUUUAUGGACUGCAGUGUAUAAUCUCAUAAUAAUUUUUCUUAGCUUAUAGUUAUCUAGUCUUAUGAUUAUUUCAGAGCUUGGUU